RNAcentral lists this ribosomal RNA (1006 nucleotides) under Arthrobacter sp. GIC65. RNAcentral's name for it is "bacterial SSU rRNA". It matches the Rfam family "Bacterial small subunit ribosomal RNA", at positions 82 to 1081 of the family's 1533-position model. Lineage: Bacteria; Bacillati; Actinomycetota; Actinomycetes; Micrococcales; Micrococcaceae. The record is from RNAcentral.
UGUGGGGGGACCAGUGGCGAACGGGUGAGUAACACGUGAGUAACCUGCCCUUGACUCUGGGAUAAGCCUGGGAAACCGGGUCUAAUACUGGUAUACUCACCUUCCCAGCGCAUGCGGUGUUGGUGGAAAGCUUUUGCGGUUUUGGAUGGACUCGCGGCCUAUCAGCUUGUUGGUGGGGUAAUGGCCUACCAAGGCGACGACGGGUAGCCGGCCUGAGAGGGUGACCGGCCACACUGGGACUGAGACACGGCCCAGACUCCUACGGGAGGCAGCAGUGGGGAAUAUUGCACAAUGGGCGCAAGCCUGAUGCAGCGACGCCGCGUGAGGGAUGAAGGCCUUCGGGUUGUAAACCUCUUUCAGUAGGGAAGAAGCUGGCCUUUCGGGGUUGGUGACGGUACCUGCAGAAGAAGCGCCGGCUAACUACGUGCCAGCAGCCGCGGUAAUACGUAGGGCGCAAGCGUUAUCCGGAAUUAUUGGGCGUAAAGAGCUCGUAGGCGGUUUGUCGCGUCUGCCGUGAAAGUCCGGGGCUUAACCCCGGAUCUGCGGGUGGGUACGGGCAGACUAAAGUGCAGUAGGGGAGACUGGAAAUUCCUGGUGUAGCGGUGAAAUGCGCAAAUAUCAGGAGGAACACCGAAUGGCGAAGGCAGGUCUCUGGGCUGUAACUGACGCUGAGGAGCGAAAGCAUGGGGAGCGAACAGGAUUAGAUACCCUGGUAGUCCAUGCCGUAAACGUUGGGCACUAGGUGUGGGGGACAUUCCACGUUUUCCGCGCCGUAGCUAACGCAUUAAGUGCCCCGCCUGGGGAGUACGGCCGCAAGGCUAAAACUCAAAGGAAUUGACGGGGGCCCGCACAAGCGGCGGAGCAUGCGGAUUAAUUCGAUGCAACGCGAAGAACCUUACCAAGGCUUGACAUGAACCGGAAUGAUGCAGAGAUGUGUCAGCCACUUGUGGCCGGUUUACAGGUGGUGCAUGGAUUGUCGUCAGCUCGUGUCGUGAGAUGUUGGGUU